CUCUGUCCCUGGAAAGGUGAUGGAACAGCUUGUGCUGGAUGUCAUCUCCAGACAACUGGGAGAAAAGGAGGUUCUCAAAGGCAAUCAGCUCCAGUGCAGGAACAUUCUGAAAUGGAGCAGCAUAACACCCUAAUGUGUACAAAGGCAGCCUCAGGGAUGGAGGGUGACCAGGAACGUGGCAAUCAGCAUGUGGCAUAUCAGUUUGGUCUUGGUGUGGUAGUUCAUGCAGGAAGGACUAAAGGCCUGAAGGCAGAGAGGGCUAUCGUGGGUGCAAUGUGCUUUGCUUGAUGAACUUUUUGAGCAAAUGGCUGAAUUGCAUGAGGAAAUCAUCUGGAUGCAUAGUAUUCAGAAAUCAGAUAGGUAGAGAUUGAUGCCCGGUGUUGCGCAGUGACAUGGGCAGACUGCCAGCCCUGUCUUAAAUUCCUGCAAGAGGAGGAAACUAAACUAGAUUCCAACUUUGAGAAGACAGACCACAGAAACACACAAGACAGGGGAAACUGGACCUUCGUCUCUGCUCAGAGCACGAGUUGUCUCCUCCUGUAGUGCCCUUAAGCAACAGAUGCAAGGGCCCGGGGUUGGAAAAAGGUGAGGGCACGGGUAAAUGAUUUAGACUCAGGAAGAGACAACCGCAUUAAGUUGCUCCAACCAAGGACCCAAUUUAGAAUCAAUGCCACCAAAAACAGGCAAAGGAUGUUAGUAACUGAGGACUCCUCGCUCAGAGGUACCCAUUUGUCCGUCGCCCAGACAAUAAGAAGAGGCUACUGAGUCUUAUAAAGCCAGAGGAAUACGAUCCACUCCUGCAUCUUCAAGUUGGGUCAGCUGAGGCUGCAAGAAGGAAAUUUCAAAUAUUAAAAGAGACUUCAUGUUCCUUGGAAGGAUGUUGAAGGAAUUGGGAGUAUGGGGAGUGUCCCCUGUCCUCCCAGGGACCUCCGCCUGGGACCCAGGUAGAAGGAGGAGAACAGAUCAGUUGAAUGACUGGUGUGUGGGUGGUGUCACACUCAAAGUUUUGGGUUCCUUGAUUGAUGAUGUCCUUUUUGAGAGACCAGGCACGUUGACAUUGGAUGGGAUGCAACUGACCAGUGGAGCAAAAACAUCCUGGGCUGAAGAUUCAGUGAGGGAAGGGGAUGUACUUCUGAGUGACAGGGAAGAGCCAGGGAACACUGUCGCUUUAGAAAGCAGAAGGGGAAAACCUCAGAUUUUUCCCAGAGGAAUUCAGGAGGGCUCCUCCGAGAACAUAACAUGGCUGAUAGCCCGGCUGAAAUGCCAUUACUUUAAUGCAAGCUGACUUAGAAAUUAGCAAGAGGAGCUGGAAGUCACUGUGCAAUUAGAAAACUGUGACCUAAUUGGUAUCAUGAAAACAUGGUGGGACAAAUAACACAACUGGGACACUAAAAUUGAAGGUUAAAAGCUUUUUGGAUGAGAUAGGCAGAGCAGAGGGGCAGAGGAAUUGCCUCUAUGCUAGGAGAUGAAUAGAUUUUGAAAGAGCUGUCUCUAAAAAACAGCUGUGAUCAUAUUGAGAGUCCAAAAUAAGAGUGAGGAACUACCAAACCAAUAAAGAGAGCAUGAGAAGAACAUGGCUCCGUUUACCCACCCUGGUUAAACAACUGCAAGUGAAUUCAAAACUCAGCAUCUUCUGUGAGAUUCAUGUUUUUCCUUCCAUCUUACUGAGAAAAGAAUUCUUCUCUGUUACCCGCAUGCCUGCACUCUGUAGAUGAGGAAAUACAGUAUUUGCAUACAUAAUGGUGUUUCUCCCAUCUCACAGAGCUGGAAGUCUGAGAGACAUGAAAAGGUAAAGCUGCAGGUGCUCUUAUUUACAGAACAGUGCAGAAGCCGAUGAGAUCUGAGGAAGAAACACACCUUCCACACUCCGUAGCCUCAAAAGAAGUGAAAGGAAGUCGGAUCCGGUUUCUACAAGCCCUUUUCCAGUAACUUUAAUGAAAAUCUUUUCAUUUUAAAGGUGUUGUGGAGCUACUUACUUUCAUUCAUAGUUUUCCUGUUUUCCUCUGAGGUAAAACAGAUUUAUGUGUGAAAGGACAACCUGCACUUGUCAGAGUGGAGCCAUCUGCCGUUUCUUGUUUACAUCAGCUCCAUGAAACCAGCCUCCAAGCCUCUGCAUUUUCUUCUAUGUGCUGAUACCAGUAUGACUUUUCUGUAAUUAAUUCUUUCCUGACAUUGCAGGAUCACAGGAUAAUUCAGCCUCCCCUUGAGUGUAUUUGACAUCUCGCUGUCCCUGUCAGCGCAAGAUCCCAGUGGAAACAGCAGCUGGGAGGGCUCUUCCUGCCUAGGGGAGGCUCCUCAGGAGUUUGUGGGAUUUACCAAUCUCUCCCUGUCCCUUACCGAGGGCCAUGUGCAGUGGCAAGCUGCAGACAGGUUUGCUGGUGGGCAGCUACUUCGUCUACUUGCUGGUGGGUGCAGCUGUGUUCCAGGCACUGGAGAGGACUGCCGAAAAGCAGCAGAAAAUGGCAGCUGCUCAGAUGAAGGAGGCUUUUCUGCAGAAUUUCACUCAGCUCACAGUGGCAGAGAUGGAGCAGUUUAUGAAGGUUAAGGUUUAAGCUGGCCAUGGGAGCUGAAAAAGGCAGAGAAAACCCCAUCACGAAGAGGAUUGAAUGGCUGAAGUCCCUUCCAGUUUCCACUCUGUGUUCUACUGCUACUCUCUGAACGGAUGGCAGGAUGAAUCCAGGGCAGGACACAGCCCAGCUGCUGGCAGCUGAGUUGACUGCAGCCGUACAGGUGAGAGUUCCUGCCAGGUUGGGGCAUGGCCUUGGGAAUGAUGCAGGCAGCUAACCUGUGGGCAGGAUGGCACAGUGCAGUUACCCUAUUGCACAACCCUGCCUGCUUUCUGGUUAAAGCUACGGGGCAUCAGCUGCUCUUCCAGCCCCAGAGGUAGGCUGGGUAGGGGAGAGAGAGUGGGUGUCCCAUGAAAACCCUUAAAAUCACACAUCAAAGCAGUGGAAAGAGAGGGGCUGAGGUGCCCCGUGAGACUGAUCUAGGCAGAGACUGGAAGAGGCAAAGUCCAACCCAAGUCCUUCUGUUAAAUGAACCAAUAAUAAAUGCUUGUUGUUUCUGAGAUGUAUGGCUGUUGCAUGCUGCCAAUGGCCUUUUACCUGCACAUUGUGCUUCCUCGCAUGGCCAGGCAGGCAGGAGGCUGGGGAAAGCUUGCAGCACCUGCAGCAGCACAGGUAAUGUUGGUUCAGGCCCUGCUCUGCAAUGGGGGAGUCAGCUUUCACUGUAAUGAGGACCUUUGGCUGCAUAGUAUGUGCUUUGUGGAGCUGUUCAUCCUGUCAUUAGUGGUGACUUCUCUUUAGCAGAGAAACAAAUGAAACACUCAGGCCUGGAGGAUGUUUUUUUUUUUGGCUCCGUCCAUAAUAAAUAAUAUCUCUGUCAUUUCUCUUGCCUCCCCAGCUACAGGUCUGAGCUGGUCCCACAGCACACAUCGCACGUUGCUGUUGCUCUGAUGUGUCUCCGUAUUCACAGUUGCUAACACAGAGGACUGUUCACUGCUGAGUGAUUUCAGAGCUGUUUGGUGGUGCCUGAGUGUAAGAUUUCGGUGAAGAUUUCUGGUUAGUUCAGCUGUGGGCCUUCCUGGGUCACCCAGAGGAGAACUUCUCCCCUGGGUGACCCUCAGCUGGAGAAAAUGGGCAUGUUGAGGCCAGGGAGAGGGCCCAGGGGGCAAAUCUACACGGCAGGGUGGUUGUGAGGAUCUCAUGUGGUCACUUCUCACAGGUAAUUAGCUUAAAUUUGUCACUGGGCAGAACGUCCACUGCUGUUCAUGGCUGCUUCUGCUGGCACUGCUCUGACCCGUGCUCCCAUGCCACCAAUGAGAAAGCUGCUUCUGCAUUGAGUCUGCUGUCCACAGGAAGACACUAGGUGGGACAGAAGGCCUUCUGGGCAGCCUGUUAGCAUUUAGCUGAGAAAAGUCAGUCUGCCCCACAUGCGAGCCAGUCUUCCACUGCAAGGCUCCAGUGAUACAAAGGCAGAAAGCUGAAACCUAAGCUGUGCUACAUUAGCAGCUCAUCGAGCUUGCCAGCCUUCUGUCCUCAUUGUUUGUGCCAGUGUAAAUCUAACACACUUCGAUAGGGAAUUCAAGGUGUGCCCAGACUGGGUCCUUGCUGAAAGCAAAAGCUGGAGAAGCCCUUGUGAAUCAUAGAAUCACAAGGUUGGAAAGGACCUGCAAGAUCAUCAUGUCCAACCGCCCUCCCAUCACCACUGCUACCACAAGCUACUAAACCAUAUCUCUUAGCUCUUCAUCCAGACACCACUUGAACGCUGCCAGGGGGGCUACAGGCCUGUCAGCUUGACCUUGGUACCAGGCUGACAAAUGGACCAACUGGUACUGGACCAACUACAGGCUGAGAGGCUCUGCAAGGAUCCUCCUUGCGGCCCUUCUUGUAGAUGGCAUCACAUCGGCAAGCCUCCAGCCCUCUGGAACCUCUCCAGAUAACCAGGAGUGCAGGCAGGUGCCGGGCUGUAUAGUUACCGUAGAUGAGGUACAAAACUUAUUUUAUGGAUGUGUAUGUUUUCUUAAAAGGUAAAAAACAGCCACAAAAACAUACAGCCAGUGGUAUAUGUGACUUUGUUCUGGUGAAACCAAUGCAUCAACUUCUAGUUCAACAGCAGUGGCUGCAGUUCUUAGCAAGUUCCCAAGGGGUUUGACAGAGAUCAUACAAAGAGUUUGCUCACUCCGUGGGGGC
Molecule: long non-coding RNA, 4691 nt
Organism: Lagopus leucura (white-tailed ptarmigan)
Lineage: Eukaryota; Metazoa; Chordata; Aves; Galliformes; Phasianidae
Exons: 3
Source: RefSeq, a predicted model, not a curated record